Molecule: long non-coding RNA, 819 nt
Organism: Suricata suricatta (meerkat)
Lineage: Eukaryota; Metazoa; Chordata; Mammalia; Carnivora; Herpestidae
Exons: 4
Source: RefSeq, a predicted model, not a curated record
CAGCGCCUAACGGCAGCGUGAAGGCUGGCUGCAGUCUCCUUAUUUCAAUUCACGGCCACGAGAAGCAAGCCUCAUUUAAAACAAGGAAAACCUACAACCCUGUACAUUUCAGCCAGCGUCCAAGGAAAACCAGGGCGAUUUGGGACCUUCACAAGCGGAAGCAGAAGGAGGCACAGGUAAUUCCGAACGUAAACCCCUCAGCGCUAGAGAGGCUGGCUUUCUAACUGCACUCCUGACGGAGGAGGACAAGAAGCAAAACGCAAUACAUAAUUCCUCCCAUCUAAGUGUUCUGAACAGUUACGUGUACCUGUAGAGAUAAAACUUGUCCUGACCUUGCUGAAUACAAAUGGCCUAGGCUAAACCUGGGAGGGCCCUCUGGGGAGAACCGGGCCGUCAUCACUACCGAGAUGACAGAGGGACCUGUAUGGAGAACCUUUCCAAUUUAAAAACAUCAGCACUGGCCAUGCCCUAUCUGGAAUGUGGAAAUUUGAGUGCUUAAUCGGAACAAAACCUUUCCAAAGACAAAAACAUGCACCUGGCUGCAGGAGUCCACUACUGACCUAACGGUGUACAUGGCUUCCAUAGGACUGCUAACUGAUUCCAAAACAGUUCCACCACAAAGUUUAUGAAGACAGUUCCCUAAGCAAGACCAUGCGGUUACCUACUAACAGGACGUGUGCACCUGCUGGCACCGCACAACUUCUCCAACCUCGCACCCGGGCUGGACGCACGCAUCAUCUCCUGUUCCAGGGGUUCACAUGGUUCUUGCCUUUUAAUCACAGCGACCACUAAAAUCCAGUUUUGUAAAUAUAAGAUGAU